GAUGAACGCUGGCGGCGUGCCUAACACAUGCAAGUCGAACGAAGCACCUUACCUAAUUCUUCGGAUGAAAGUUUGGUGACUGAGUGGCGGACGGGUGAGUAACGCGUGGGUAACCUGCCCUGUACAGGGGGAUAACAGCUGGAAACGGCUGCUAAUACCGCAUAAGCGCACGAGGAGACAUCUCCUUGUGUGAAAAACUCCGGUGGUACAGGAUGGGCCCGCGUCUGAUUAGCUGGUUGGCAGGGUAACGGCCUACCAAGGCAACGAUCAGUAGCCGGUCUGAGAGGAUGAACGGCCACAUUGGAACUGAGACACGGUCCAAACUCCUACGGGAGGCAGCAGUGGGGAAUAUUGCACAAUGGGGGAAACCCUGAUGCAGCAACGCCGCGUGAGUGAAGAAGUAUUUCGGUAUGUAAAGCUCUAUCAGCAGGGAAGAUAAUGACGGUACCUGACUAAGAAGCUCCGGCUAAAUACGUG
RNAcentral lists this ribosomal RNA (477 nucleotides) under uncultured bacterium. RNAcentral's name for it is "partial 16S ribosomal RNA". It matches the Rfam family "Bacterial small subunit ribosomal RNA", at positions 28 to 507 of the family's 1533-position model. The record is from RNAcentral.